CUAGAUUUGGGGUCACUGUAAUGAGCAAGGUGGUAAAUAUUUAGUUUGUCCAGCAAGAAUAUAAUUUUUGUAUUUCCUGAUCAUCUGUUCUGGUUUUCUGCAGACAGCUAUUACUUGUGUGAGUGUGAGGCGGAGAGAGACCGUCCGCAGCGCACGUAUGUGCACCCGACAUGCCCGGAAUACAAGACAGAGCGUGACUGAAGGACCAGAGGGGAGAUCACUCCCGUAUCCAGGGGCAACACAGCAGCAGCUGCUCUUCCUCCACAACUUCUCUCUAUUCAGCGUGACAGCGGCUGCAUUUAUCUGCUCCGAUGUGACGUCGUCUGCUGCUGAAAUCACGGCUCUUCCUUUGGCUUAACUCUUCAAGACAUAUUUAUCGUAAGGUGCCGCGACAAGGAAAAUACAGCCCGAGUGACUCAGGAGGACUGACGGACGAGGAAAGAACAGAAUUAAAUACAGACCUGGAAAGGUUUGAGAAAAUUGUUUUAUUCCAUAAAAAAACAGGGAAGGUCAAAAAGUUGAUAAGAGAGGUCAAAGGUCAGGGGGCAGAAGGAAGCCUCAAGUGAAAGAUGGCAAAUGUGGAUUCAUCAGGAAGUCUUUUUCAGUUUACAGUCACUUUUUUGGUAGAGGGAGUUUAUUAUCAGCUAGUUAUCGGGAAAAAUCAAGCGCCCACUAGUGGCCACGGCUGUAAGGACAAUCUGGAGCUUUUAAUAAUCACCUGCAAAACUCCCUCCUGCAGAAAACAUCUCUGGACCUAAAUAUGUUGCAAUUAGAAGGAUUGAGGAGGGGUCUGUGUGCCCACAAUGCAUCAAUGUCAUCAAUAAGAGCAGGACUGCCCCUGCCAUUAAGAUGUCUGCCUCUUUGCUUGGAAAAUUUAUUGAUGAGAGCAGUAAAAUGUAAAGAAACACACGGGUUUUCAUUGACAACAAGUAAUCAAUGAUUCUGCUUUAACGAACAGAGGUUUUAUCUGGCGGCUCUUCGCUGAGCAGGACUGUGGGAGGCCAACAGGGAGGCCUGAUGCAGGGCUGUUUGAUCUCUUAGCUUGUGAAAAGUGAAUCAGGGAUGAGAGAUUUUCACAUGCUGAUGUAUCAGUGAGAAAAAAAACUCUCUUAACAUGGUGACAUCACACAGAAACCCUCUUUACGCCUUCCUUUUAUCCACAAUCUCUCCAGAGUCCCAUUCUGCCACCAGGCUGUGUAAUUUCUGAGCUGCCCCGUGUGUGACGGCGUGUG
RNAcentral lists this long non-coding RNA (1232 nucleotides) under Takifugu rubripes (torafugu). RNAcentral describes it as "lncRNA (ENSTRUG00000030695.1)". The record is from RNAcentral. Lineage: Eukaryota; Metazoa; Chordata; Actinopteri; Tetraodontiformes; Tetraodontidae.